RNAcentral lists this ribosomal RNA (482 nucleotides) under uncultured bacterium. RNAcentral describes it as "bacterial SSU rRNA". It matches the Rfam family "Bacterial small subunit ribosomal RNA", at positions 32 to 524 of the family's 1533-position model. The record is from RNAcentral.
AAUCAACGCUGGCGGCGUGCCUCAGACAUGCAAGUCGAACGAUUAAAGCUCUCUUCGGAGAGUGUAUAGAGUGGCGCACGGGUGAGUAACACGUAAGUAAUCUACCCUCGAGUGGGGAAUAACGUCCGGAAACGGACGCUAAUACCGCAUAAUGCAGCGGCACCGCAAGGUGACAGUUGUUAAAGGAGUAAUUCGCUUGAGGAGGAGCUUGCGGCAGAUUAGCUGUUGGUAAGGUAACGGCUUACCAAGGCUACGAUCUGUAUCCGGUCUUAGAGGACGGUCGGACACACUGACACUGAAUAACGGGUCAGACUCCUACGGGAGGCAGCAGUCGGGAAUUUUGGCAAUGGGCGAAAGCCUGACCCAGCAACGCCGCGUGAAGGAUGAAGUAUUUCGGUAUGUAAACUUCGAAAGAAUAGGAAGAAUUAAUGACGGUACUAUUUAUAAGGUCCGGCUAACUACGUGCCAGCCGCCGCCGUAAU